CUGAAUCACAGAUGAAUUCUGCAGAAGUUUCUGAACCAAACAAACAAGACGAUCACUUUUAUCAAUACUUAACUCCAAAACAGCCCUCAUCAUUGACUCCGCCUCUUCAGCUGAACGUGCCUUUGGCUCCGCCUCCUGUUGCCGACUGAUGGCGUUUCUUCCCAUGUUUAUUGAGCGACUGCUUCAGUAGAACUAUGAUCUUCUUCCUCUUCUCCUGCUGCCUGACAGUCGGUCUGGCCGUUGACGUCCGUCAGACUCCGGCUGAAGUUCUGAUUCCUCCUGGAAACCAGGUGCAUCUUCUCUGCAACCACGACAAGACUGAUUUCUACUUGAUGCUCUGGUACCAGCAGACGCCCGGAACCGCAGACAUGAAGCUCAUCGGAUAUCUGUAUUACAGCCAAGUAACCAUGGAGAAAGAAUUUAAAGAUGAUUUCAAGAUUUCUGGAGAUCUGAGUGGAACCACGGCGAAGAACGGAUCUCUGGUGAUCACCAAAGCAGAAGAGAAGAACUCUGCAGUUUAUUUCUGUGCAGCGAGCAAAGCACAGUGAUGAAGAUCCUGAGAGGACGUGACAAAAACCCUCGGUGGUUUUCAGGCUCCUCCCAGCUGCUUCUGUGGUCCAUGAUUCUACUACUAGAAUCUACAAUUUCACUGUUUGAAUGUUUCUGUCUAAAAAACAAGAAACUCAUCAAAGUUUCAUUUAUGGAAGCAGAGAUGUAACAGGAAGGAAAAAUGAUCCUGCAUUUCUCUUUGCUGCCACCAGUAGGCGCUGCUUCUUAGCUGUUACAUUAACCUCCAGCUAAUGUUAAAGAUGUUUUCAGACACUUUUUAUAUUUUUAAAUGACACACAUUUAUAAAAUCAGUGCAGCAGAUAAAUCUGGUUCAUUUUACAUUUUAUAACAGAUUAUUAAUGAAGAACUUCAUUUAAAUUUAGACUUUAAAGCAGAAAUAUUUUUAGUGUUUGUCACAGAAACAUUUAAAUUUGUGCUCCG
This is a non-coding RNA of Oryzias melastigma (Indian medaka), 990 nucleotides long. The record is from the annotation of a RefSeq genome assembly. NCBI's taxonomy places the organism in Eukaryota, Metazoa, Chordata, Actinopteri, Beloniformes, Adrianichthyidae.